Long non-coding RNA from Carassius auratus (goldfish), 1560 nucleotides. RefSeq lists it as uncharacterized. NCBI's taxonomy places the organism in Eukaryota, Metazoa, Chordata, Actinopteri, Cypriniformes, Cyprinidae. The transcript has 4 exons. The record is from RefSeq and is a predicted model, not a curated record.
AGUGAGAAGGGAACACACACAAAUACACCGUGAACACUAGCUUUACCGGUUCUUAAACUAAAAUCAUAAAAUCAUCUUUUUAUGCAUUACACAAGCAUUACACAGUCACAAAUGAACAAACAAAUUCUUAAAGAACUAUUUGGACCUCAAGGAAGAGUUUUGAAAUUCAAACCAUUGUGGCUUGCUCAUACAAACCAAGGGUUUGGAAAAGAUGUGUGUGAUGAGUGGAUGUUUCAAAACAGGAGGAGUGUUCUUCAGGCUUGUGACAGACUGGUGGAGCAAACACAGAACUCCAGGAGCACUUUAAAGAGCACACAUCUUCCCAAACUAUCAGAAUGGAAACAUAAAGAACCAGAAUGAGUUUCAGGGUGAGCCUGUUGUUCCUGACCAUGACUGUGGUCGUAGUCUGUGGUCAGAAGAGACGUCUUGCAAAAGAGGAGUGGAACUACCGUGAUGGCUCUGAGAGAGUAAGCAUGCGAGGAGUUGCAAAUCUGACACAAGUGCUUGAUGUCUGGAGGUUUGAUAUCCUGAAGAAAGUAAAAGGACUCCUGCAGAACGACCAUCAGUCCUUGCUGCCUGACUACUCCAGGAUCCAACCUCUCUCUGAGGCGCUGGAUGACUUGUAGAAAGAGUUCAAUGCCCUGAAAACUCAUCUUGGUGAGCUAACUGAAAAGUUUGGACCAUUGGAAACCUUUGUAGAUGAACUGAAGGCCAAGAGGACCAGUGUGAGCACAGACUCUGCUAACCCGGUGCGCAGACGCGUCAUUAAGAACAGGGGUCCUGUUGUCUCCUAAAUGGCCGUGUUUAGAUCUCUCCUAAUAUCAAACCACUAUGAUAUAGAUUCCUUUAGCAGCCUUUCCUUGAGCUUCUCACUCUUUUGGCAUCUUGUUGCUGUAUUUUGCUGGGACACCAGUAAUAAACAAUAUGCUGAACAUUGUGAAUGUCCCUCGAUGUGGUAUUUUAAAGCAGCAAUUUAAAAGUGACAGCCGUUCAUUGUUAACAAUGCAAAGAAAUAAUGGACACAGCUAUAACAACAGGUCUUAAUUAUAUAAAUAUUAAAUAUUCAAAUAUGCAUGACUGUCAAUGAAUUGAUAUGUGGUAUUUGCAGCUCUCAAAGUGAUCAAUGGCUUGUGCAGGUGUAAACUGAUUAUGAAAAAGCGGAGAACAUUUCAGGAACACAAUAAAUUGUGUUUUUCAUUGUGUAUUUAUGCUUAUAAUCGGAUGAGCAUGGUAAUUAGAUGCUGAAUAUCUCUUGGCUCAUAUUUGCCAUCUCAUGCAAGAUAUAAUAAAUUCAGUCUGUUGUAUUCACUUCUAAGUUUCAGUGUGUUUGCUAACUUUUGGCAUAAUUCGUUUUGUGCAUAAUAGUUUGGUGUUUGUUUCAUCAUUCAUUCAAAAUGUACUCCCUCAUUAAAAUACAUAUACAAAUAAGACACAGAACCUUUUAACUCUGUCACAGUUUCAAUCUGAGCUCCACUGUCAACAGCAGAACUGCAUAUGCAGGGGCCCAUACAAGUAUCAGGACACUUUUGGACAUCAAAGCCAAAUACAAUUCAUGUUUUU